RNAcentral lists this transfer RNA (65 nucleotides) under Apolygus lucorum. Its description in RNAcentral is "tRNA-Tyr". The record is from RNAcentral. Lineage: Eukaryota; Metazoa; Arthropoda; Insecta; Hemiptera; Miridae.
GAUAGGAUGGCUGAAUUUUAGGUUAUAAAUUGUAAAUUUAUAUAUGGUAUUUAUACCUCUUAUCA